RNAcentral lists this ribosomal RNA (446 nucleotides) under uncultured bacterium. Its description in RNAcentral is "partial 16S ribosomal RNA". It matches the Rfam family "Bacterial small subunit ribosomal RNA", at positions 338 to 795 of the family's 1533-position model. The record is from RNAcentral.
CCUACGGGAGGCUGCAGUCGAGAAUCAUUCACAAUGGGGGAAACCCUGAUGGUGCGACGCCGCGUGGGGGAAUGAAGGUCUUCGGAUUGUAAACCCCUGUCAUGUGGGAGCAAAUUAAAAAGAUAGUACCACAAGAGGAAGAGACGGCUAACUCUGUGCCAGCAGCCGCGGUAAUACAGAGGUCUCAAGCGUUGUUCGGAAUCACUGGGCGUAAAGCGUGCGUAGGCUGUUUCGUAAGUCGGGUGUGAAAGGCGCGGGCUCAACCCGCGGACGGCACAUGAUACUGCGAGACUAGAGUAAGGGAGGGGGAACCGGAAUUCGCGGUGUAGCAGUGAAAUGCGUAGAUAUCGAGAGGAACACUCGUGGCGAAGGCGGGUUCCUGGACAUUAACUGACGCUGAGGCACGAAGGCCAGGGGAGCGAAAGGGAUUAGAUACCCCUGUAGUC